GCUCAACCGGGGAGGGUCAUUGGAAACUGGGGAACUUGAGUGCAGAAGAGGAGAGUGGAAUUCCACGUGUAGCGGUGAAAUGCGUAGAGAUGUGGAGGAACACCAGUGGCGAAGGCGACUCUCUGGUCUGUAACUGACGCUGAGGCGCGAAAGCGUGGGGAGCGAACAGGAUUAGCUACCCUGGUAGUCCACGCCGUAAACGAUGAGUGCUAAGUGUUAGAGGGUUUCCGCCCUUUAGUGCUGCAGCAAACGCAUUAAGCACUCCGCCUGGGGAGUACGGUCGCAAGACUGAAACUCAAAGGAAUUGACGGGGGCCCGCACAAGCGGUGGAGCAUGUGGUUUAAUUCGAAGCAACGCGAAGAACCUUACCAGGUCUUGACAUCCUCUGACAACCCUAGAGAUAGGGCUUCCCCUUCGGGGGCAGAGUGACAGGUGGUGCAUGGUUGUCGUCAGCUCGUGUCGUGAGAUGUUGGGUUAAGUCCCGCAACGAGCGCAACCCUUGAUCUUAGUUGCCAGCAUUCAGUUGGGCACUCUAAGGUGACUGCCGGUGACAAACCGGAGGAAGGUGGGGAUGACGUCAAAUCAUCAUGCCCCUUAUGACCUGCGCUACACACGUGCUACAAUGGGCAGAACAAAG
This 637-nucleotide ribosomal RNA is filed under the name uncultured bacterium. RNAcentral's name for it is "bacterial SSU rRNA". It matches the Rfam family "Bacterial small subunit ribosomal RNA", at positions 607 to 1244 of the family's 1533-position model. The record is from RNAcentral.